RNAcentral lists this long non-coding RNA (1187 nucleotides) under Homo sapiens (human). RNAcentral describes it as "HSALNT0301736". The record is from RNAcentral. Lineage: Eukaryota; Metazoa; Chordata; Mammalia; Primates; Hominidae.
AGAAAUCACCCGUCUUCUGCGUCAAUCACGCUGAGAACUGCAGACCAGAGCUGUUCCUAUUUGGCCAUCUUGGAACCGGUCUGAGUCUGUUUUAGCCAGAUCAAGUACUUGGUGAGAGAACCUUUGUGGGAGCGCAGAAGUCCAGCAGAGAGACCCUAGCACUUUAUUUGGACCAAAAAAUAAAUAAUAAAUAAAUAAAUAAAUAAAUCCAAAACUAGAUGCAUUAAAGAAGGUAAGAACAGUUUUACUUUACCUGUGUCACCCCUCCCCCAGUGUGGCACAGAUCAGUGCCAAGAGAGACCGCUUCAGCCCAGUUUCUUCCACAGGGGAAAAUGAGAACAGUGAGUGCCUAAUUUCCUCAGCUGUAGGAUGCUGUAGAAGAGACCCACUUCUGCCUCACCCAUUUGAGAACCCUGAGGGAAUCAGUAUGGCUGAAUAAUCUGGGGGUAGCUAGGAGCAGGGAAAAGGGGCAGCACUCACAGCAACCUGAGUAUGGAAUUCAGCAAAGAGCCACAGUUUCUAUUAACUACCUCCCAAAUUCCAUCAAGAGGGCCAGCCACAAACUACAUAGGAUGCAUAAUCUGCAGAUCCCCUGACUAGCCCAUGUGUGCUUCCAACCUUCUGCAUGCCCUUCCCCCAUGUAGCUGGCACCCUGAAUGCACCCCCAUGGAUAGCAUGUACAAGCUUCUGCAGAUUGUGCAUGAGAACAUGAAGAUAACUAACUUGAUUCAGGAUUGGAAGGAAGUGACUAAUCUUGAAUUUUUCAAGGCACUUCCUAGGGAAGAUAAACAGGAGGCUUACAUUGCACCUGGCCUGACUUUUGCAAGAUCAAGAGAAGGAAUAUGCUGUAAUUUGAAUGAAAAUUUAACAUUUAAAAUUUAUGUUGAAGCUGAAUACUCAAUGCAAUAGUACUAAGAAGUCUAACCUUUGGGAGGUGAUUAAGUCAUGAUGACUCUUCUCACUUGAAUGGGAUGAGCACUCAUAAAAGAUGUCAAGGUUUAUGGGAGUUCUCUUUUGCCCUUCCAUCCCUUCUGCCAGGUUAGACUUCUCCUAUGGAGAAUGCAGCAAGAAAAUACCAUCUUGAAGCAGAGAGCAGCGCUCAUCAGGCAUCAGUCCUUCUGGAGCCUUGAUCUUGGACCUCCCAGCUCCAAAAUAAUAAGUAAUAAAUUGUUAUUGCUUAUAAAUUA